CCUACGGGAGGCAGCAGUAAGGAAUAUUGGUCAAUGGGCGGAAGCCUGAACCAGCCAUGCCGCGUGCAGGAAGACGGCCCUACGGGUUGUAAACUGCUUUUAUACGGGAAUAAACCUCGAUACGUGUAUCGAGCUGAAUGUACUGUAAGAAUAAGGAUCGGCUAACUCCGUGCCAGCAGCCGCGGUAAUACGGAGGAUCCAAGCGUUAUCCGGAUUUAUUGGGUUUAAAGGGUGCGUAGGUGGCCUGUUAAGUCAGGGGUGAAAGACGGUAGCUUAACUAUCGCAGUGCCCUUGAUACUGAUGGGCUUGAAUAAACUAGAGGUAGGCGGAAUGUGACAAGUAGCGGUGAAAUGCAUAGAUAUGUCACAGAACACCAAUUGCGAAGGCAGCUUACUAUGGUUUUAUUGACACUGAGGCACGAAAGCGUGGGGAUCAAACAGGAUUAGAUACCCUGGUAGUCCACGCCCUAAACGAUGAAUACUCGAUGUUGGCGAUAUACGGUCAGCGUCUAAGCGAAAGCGUUAAGUAUUCCACCUGGGGAGUACGCCCGCAAGGGUGAAACUCAAAGGAAUUGACGGCGNGAGACGNGCGAGACGACGACGAGGGAGGAGG
Molecule: ribosomal RNA, 612 nt
Filed under: uncultured bacterium
Lineage: Bacteria
Description: bacterial SSU rRNA
Rfam family: Bacterial small subunit ribosomal RNA
Source: RNAcentral